GGCCAACUUGAUUUUGGAACAAUUCUUUGAGAAGGACAUAAAACACGUUCCGUUUUUUUGUCCCCACCCCCUCAUUACCCUAAUCUCACCAACAACUAUCUAAGAACUGGUACGGACAAGGGAAUCUGACUGUCGAAUUGAAGCAUAGCAUUGCGAUGGUCAGAAAGCGUUGAUGCAGUGUGAUUUCUGCCCAUUUCUCCGAAUGUUAAAGUGAAGAAAUUACCAAGUACGGGUAAAUAGCGGAAGUCACUAUGGCUCUAUUAGGGUAGCAAAUGCCUCGUCACCUAGUUAAAUGUCGGGACUAAAUGGAUUAGCGAGACAGCCACUA
Molecule: non-coding RNA, 328 nt
Filed under: Metschnikowia bicuspidata var. bicuspidata NRRL YB-4993
Lineage: Eukaryota; Fungi; Ascomycota; Pichiomycetes; Serinales; Metschnikowiaceae
Description: Eukaryotic large subunit ribosomal RNA
Rfam family: Eukaryotic large subunit ribosomal RNA
Source: Rfam by way of RNAcentral